UACGUAGGGUGCGAGCGUUAAUCGGAAUUACUGGGCGUAAAGCGUGCGCAGGCGGUUCGUUAAGUUCGUUGUGAAAGCCCCGGGCUCAACCUGGGAACUGCAAUGGAAACUGGCGGGCUUGAAUGCGGCAGAGGGGGGUGGAAUUCCGCGUGUAGCAGUGAAAUGCUUAGAUAUCGUCAAGAACACCGAUAGCGAAGGCAGCUUACUAGGCUGUAACUGACGCUGAGGCACGAAAGUGUGGGGAUCAAACAGG
This 253-nucleotide ribosomal RNA is filed under the name uncultured bacterium. Its description in RNAcentral is "partial 16S ribosomal RNA". It matches the Rfam family "Bacterial small subunit ribosomal RNA", at positions 524 to 776 of the family's 1533-position model. The record is from RNAcentral.